Non-coding RNA from Rattus norvegicus (Norway rat), 228 nucleotides. Lineage: Eukaryota; Metazoa; Chordata; Mammalia; Rodentia; Muridae. The record is from Rfam.
UUGGACUCUAUUCGCAAUUGUAAAAGAUCCUUCUAACUGGGGCAUACAUCCCGAAACACCCUCUUUUUUUCCCCCGUCAGCGUGUCUGGUAACACAUUAAAAUAGAAUCGUAAUCAAGCAAUCAGUCCUUUAUAUUUUCCUCCUAGUGAGUAUCUGGAAAACAGGUGCAGAAAUGGAUCAUUUGAGACACCGUAGAAAUCUGGUUAAUCCUGCCUGCCUGCUUUCCUU